UCGCAAAAGCUCCCCCCCACAAAAUCCCGAAGAGACGCAGUAACUGUGGGUGCUGCGGGCUGGCUUUGAAUAAAAAAUGUGACCCUCAAAAACCCUAACCCUAACCUUAAAGGCUUAAACCCCAGAAGUUGAAUUCUUAAUGCCUGAAGAAGACCCUUCAAACUUUGAUAUAUAAAGAAUUCGGAAGGAUGUCGGGAAGGGGAGGAGAUAGUGACUCCGACGAUGCAGCCCCCGAGGAAUUCACCUCUCAACAGGGAAUCGAACAAGAUGAAGAAAUAACUAGACUCCAAAAAGAAAAUAAGGCCAGAGUUGUUCGCGAGGGAAAAGACCGUCGGAGAAGAUGGGCUCAAAAGGUAACUCCACGACCCUUGGGAGAGGAGGAAAGCAUUGAAGAUGCGAAGGAAAUUGAACCAAAACAAGAGUCCCUUGAUUACCAGGGAAUGCUGCCAGAUGAAAUUGUGAAACUUCUUGCAGCUGGCGAGAAGAAAGUUUUUUCAUCGGAUUCAGAAGAAGAAAAACCAAAGAAAAAGCCCAGCUCAGCGAAGAAGAAGAGAACGAAAAGACCAGGGCUAGAACCUAUUAUUCUAGAGGAGAUACCACCGGCUCAAUGUUUACAGAGUUCACUGGAGUUUCUGAAGAAACGGAAAAUGCAGAUUUCAAGAUCAUCUGCUGUUCUGAACAAUUCAGAUCAAGCAUUGCGGCUCCUUUCUACUUCAGGGUUACUGUCUAAGAAAUGAUAAGUAACAGCUUCCUUGGUACACAUGCUCAGGGGGAUCCACAUGCUGUUGUAAAAAAAGCGAGGAUAGUUUAUGUCUCUCAUCAUGGUACACCUUACAUUCUCCAUUGAGAAAGUAAAAAGUGGAAUUGAUAGUAAAGAUUGCAUUUAUGUCAACAGCUGCAGAAGAUCCAUUAAUCAAGAAAGUUGCUGAUAAUUAUUCAGUGGAACUAAUUGCCAAGUGUAUGCGGCAUUGGGAUGCGGAUGUUUUAGUCAGUAGACUGAAUUUCCUCCAUAUCAAAAUGACACCAAACACCACAAGGCAGUACUUCUUCAACGAAUGAUGAAACUAAUGGGUGCAUUUGUGCUGACUAAAGAUUUUGUCAUAUUCCGUUUUGCUCGUUAAAAUGAAUAUUAAGCUGUUGCAAGCCACUACAAGCUUUGCCUUCUCAUGCGAGAUUCCAAAGAGGAGCCACCUACCGUGGAAGAUUUAUGGAUUUUUAUUCUGCGCUAGAGAUUUUAAAAUACUUGACUA
Coffea arabica (coffee) is the source of this 1250-nucleotide RNA transcript. RefSeq lists it as uncharacterized. The record is from RefSeq and is a predicted model, not a curated record. NCBI's taxonomy places the organism in Eukaryota, Viridiplantae, Streptophyta, Magnoliopsida, Gentianales, Rubiaceae.